AAACUAUAAAUCCUUGAUAUUCUUAUUUUAGGCUAAAUUUGUUUACCUGUCUGUUCAGAUGCGACACAAGAGCUUUAUUUAAUGUGACUAUGGCCACAAGCUAAACACAUGCUAGAGAUUCUCCAGUGGGCCCUGAAAACCUGGGGCAUCCCAGACUGAGAUGGCUGUUCCUCUAGUCUUUCUGAUCCUCUUCCUGGUGGGCCAAACCUACCCAUCCUAACUGCAAGUGCUUUAUAGGCUUGUCAAGACAUGCACAUCUUAAGUUUUGCACCUUGACAGCUCUGCAGUAGAAAGCAGCAAAUGUGUUCUUCUGGAUAACCUACUGCAGCAUCUCUCCAGUCUUCAUGGUUGCCAUAAUCACUGAA
Gopherus evgoodei (Goodes thornscrub tortoise) is the source of this 365-nucleotide long non-coding RNA. RefSeq lists it as uncharacterized. The transcript is spliced from 3 exons. The record is from RefSeq and is a predicted model, not a curated record. Lineage: Eukaryota; Metazoa; Chordata; Testudines; Testudinidae.